RNAcentral lists this ribosomal RNA (337 nucleotides) under Rissoa lia. RNAcentral's name for it is "partial 16S ribosomal RNA". It matches the Rfam family "Bacterial large subunit ribosomal RNA", at positions 1854 to 2478 of the family's 2925-position model. Lineage: Eukaryota; Metazoa; Mollusca; Gastropoda; Littorinimorpha; Rissoidae. The record is from RNAcentral.
GGACCUGCCCAGUGAUGUAAUACAUUUAACGGCCGCAGUACCCUGACUGUGCAAAGGUAGCAUAAUCAUUUGCCCUAUAAUUAAGGGCUAGUAUGAAUGGUUUGACAAGAACAUGACUGUCUCUUGUGGGAUAAUUAAAAAUUAAAUUUUAGGUGAAGAUGCCUAAAUAUAACUAAAAGACGAGAAGACCCUGUUGAGCUUUAAAAACUCUAAGGAAAUCUAAAAGGUUUUUUUGGUUGGGGCGACCUAAGAACAUAUAAAGCUUCUUUUAUUAUUUGAGACAUUUAGUUAUGAUCCAAUAAAAUUGAUUAAUAAAAUAACCUACCGCAGGGAUAAC